RNAcentral lists this transfer RNA (70 nucleotides) under Dipodomys ordii (Ord's kangaroo rat). It matches the Rfam family "tRNA". Rfam says of the family: Transfer RNA (tRNA) molecules are approximately 80 nucleotides in length. Their secondary structure includes four short double-helical elements and three loops (D, anti-codon, and T loops). The record is from Rfam by way of RNAcentral. Lineage: Eukaryota; Metazoa; Chordata; Mammalia; Rodentia; Heteromyidae.
GGGAAGGUGGCUCAGUGGUAGAAUGCUUGCCUUGCAUGCAUGAGGCCCUGGGUUCGAUUCCUCAGCCCCA